Molecule: long non-coding RNA, 2710 nt
Organism: Chelmon rostratus (copperband butterflyfish)
Lineage: Eukaryota; Metazoa; Chordata; Actinopteri; Chaetodontiformes; Chaetodontidae
Exons: 3
Source: RefSeq, a predicted model, not a curated record
AAUCCAUACUAAUACAAGAUGUUGUAAACAGCUCAAACAGCACAACACUGAGAACAACAGAUUGGUAAAUGAGCAUCAGUCUGGUGAGAGAUUUCAUGUUACACCCCUCUGAAACACCAUGAGAAACAGAAUGACAAUAAGUCUUAUUCACAUCUCGCAUGUUUUUAUUCGUUCCGAUCAGUUUUAGGGAAUAAUCCUCAGUGUUCUGGAUCUUCAGAAUAAAUUCUGGGUUACAACACUUGGACCAUAUGACCCGUAGCUGUGAAGGUGUACCCUCUGCAGAACUUAGACAUGAUCUCAUGAACAUUUGCUCAAUUCACAACUGUUCAGACUGCUGAUACCGGAGCUGAAUCAUACCACCAGCUGGAAGCAGUGCAAAGAGACAACCUGGACACAUCUGAUAAGACUGAAGGAGUCACAUGACAUGGCCUUAACACAGACAAUUCCCCUGGUGAGCAAAGAAUAUCUUGCCAUUUUUGAAAACCUUUCACACAGAAUAUGUACCGAUACAAGCAACAUUGCUUUUGCUAAUUCAGUGACCAAUCGUGCAGUCAAGGAAUUUGUACAUUCUAAUAAGGAAGUCAUUCCAUCAAUAAGGGAUUUUGAUGGGUGGCCCAAAUGGGGUGAGGCAUCUUUAGCUGGGCUUGCAAAUGCUUUGAAGGCAAUGUAUUUGUCUGGUUGUGUACUAGCCAUGUCUAUUCAUUAUGACUCCAGGAAAAAAGCUUUGCAAAUCAGUUAGAAGUCGUCACAAUGCAGAGGGAAGGCGGUACGUCUUGGAUGGUGGCGUGAGCACUGACGAUGAGUCUGUCGAUGAUAUUGUUAGGGUUAGACUCAGAGUUUUGUCCAUUAUCACCAAAUAAUGAAGACCUUGAUAUAGAAAGACUGAAAGUAUUAUUGGCCUGGAAAGAUCAUCAGAAUGAGGUGAUUAAUCAUGUGAUAGAUGAUGUGACAUCUUUCAAUCAUGAACCCAGUAUAAAUGAGGCCACUGAUUUAGAUUUAAAUCAAGACAACUGAUGCCCUCGUUAUGAUGAUGAUGAUGUCAGGAAAUAGGUAGAGGUGGCUGUUGGGAUGGAGAUGUUCAUGAUCAAACAGGUUGUAGUGCAGAUUUACAUGUGAGGGGAAUAUGUCUGAGUACUGUAAGCCGUACAGCACUGUUCUAAUGCAUAGGUGUGCAUAAUACUGCAAUGUAUGUCUGUCAGACUACAGCAGUCGUCAGUGAAGCAUCUCUUGAAGGACACAGCUAAGGCUCCUUCACUGUUUUGAUGCAUGGUCCUCGUCUGUUUCUUUGGCCAGUAGUCUCUGAAGCACAGUCACAGCAGGAAUCACAUCUGAUGCCAAAGCAUUGGAGGAGCUCACUGUUCAGGUUAGCUCCUCAAAUGGGGCCAGAGCAGAUUUCUGGCUUUUGCAGGAGUGUCCACGGGUGAGGGGUUGAGAUUGUGGUGAGGGGAAGGAGCUCACAUUUGGAAUGAAAUCCCAGAGCCUGCUUCUGCACGAAUACUGUUUCUGUGGUGCGCUGAAGGCUGGGAAAUCCAACAUUUGGCAAUGCCUGGUCAUCAAGAGAAAUGUGCUGGAUAAGAGCGUCUGUUAUUUCUGUCUCUGGAUAUUUUCUCUUGCUUCAAGACAAGUUGGUUGUUGUUGUUGUUGCUGCUGCUCGCUGCAGCAAGUUCCUUGAAUUCUGUAUUGUGUUGGUUCUUUAAAUUGCUUGUGUUAAUGGAGCUACUUUUCACCCCUCUUGACCGUUUAGCAAAGUAUCAUUCGCAUUCAUCUUCUCUAGUUUUGCCAUUGUCACUUACCCUAAAAUAUCUCCAAACUGCUGAUGUUUCCACUUUAGCAGGGCUUGCGUCUCCGCUUUGCAGAACUUGUGUCGACAGCUUAAAUCAGACGCGUGUUUGUCAAAACACCAGCAAAGAGGGGGCGCUAUUGGGUGUUUGGGUUUCGUUUGUGGCACAGGUGGCCAGAUAGAUAAGGUUUUGCAUUUCCCAAAGACGUCAGACACGCUGUUUAUGGCUUAAGUCAAAACCUCUCUGAAGUGUAAGCAUGAAGCCUCAGGUUAAACAAGCCAUGUGACUGGUGAGGAGGCUCAGUGUGAAUACAUUGAGAAUUACUACGCUAGAAAAGAUUGAUGUUAAGUGCCAAGUAUGAUGUAAGGCAGGCUCAUGCCGUAUGACCUUCUGGAGAAGUUUGGUGACAUGAUGUCGUACUGUGACAUAGAGAGAUUCAUAUUUUUGUCACGUGAUGGUGAUUGGAUUCGUCCUCUGGGUCCUUCUUUGGAUGGACUGAGAACUUUGUGGGUCAGAGCAAGAGGACUUUAUUACUGAAUACAAAAUUUCUUUGAAAUUUCUAUGUAAACUGGGGGAACCCUGGGAACAUAGGAGUGACUACCAGGCAGGAUAAAUUGCUCCCGUUUACAAGAUUUCCAGCUCACCGGUUGGACGCGUUGAUGAAUAUUCAUUUUCAGAUACACCUGUAAGUAGUGUAAAUAAAAAAGGAAGAAGCCUGAGAAGACAAAGGUGUCCUAAUACAGACACUAAAAGAUGGUUGAAGUUUUUAUUUUUUUAAUUAUUGUUUUUUUAUGACUUGUUAUUAUUUAUGUCUAUCUCAUGCGUUGAUUAUUACACAAGCAUGUAUGUGAGGGAAGAAAAUAUGUUCGCAAACUGACUGUUUCCAGAUGAUUGUAUAAAAAUGCUUCAAUAAAACACGUUGAAAUGUU